GUACAAUAUCAAGUAGUAGGAGGUCUAGUGUGGGGCUUCCCUACCCUCUAAAUCCAAACGACAGAGUACAUUUGACACCAAUAAAUGUAGAGGGGUCACAAAGACAACUACUUGCAUUAUAAAAAACAUUUCAAAGGUUCAUGGCCAACAUGGAGAAAGUUCCUAGUGAUGUGAAGGAAUCGAUGUGGAAGACAUUUUAGAUGAGAGGACGAAGGCAAUGAAAGAAGCUGGUGCUACUAACAUUAAAGAAUGCAAAGGAAUGGAAAGGGAAUGGAUCACAAAAGAUGUGUGAGAUGCCCUCAUUGGAAAUGAAUGGGGAACAGAUGCAUGGCAAUCCAAAUUAGGAAAAGCAAAGGCAAACCACUUAAUAGAGAAAGAAGGAAGCAUUACAAAGCACACGGGUGGUUCACCACCUUUUGCUAUUCAUGGUAUCAAGUUGGAUGAGAAGCUAGGUAAGGAGGUAGGAUAUUCUAAAAUUUUUCAAGCUACACACAAGCGCAAGGAUGGAGAGGGUGAAUUUGUGGACAACAAGUCAAGACUUGUCAAUG
Molecule: long non-coding RNA, 548 nt
Organism: Dioscorea cayenensis subsp. rotundata (Guinea yam)
Lineage: Eukaryota; Viridiplantae; Streptophyta; Magnoliopsida; Dioscoreales; Dioscoreaceae
Exons: 4
Source: RefSeq, a predicted model, not a curated record